Molecule: ribosomal RNA, 1210 nt
Filed under: metagenome
Description: bacterial LSU rRNA
Rfam family: Bacterial large subunit ribosomal RNA
Source: RNAcentral
ACCCCGUAACUUCGGGAGAAGGGGUGCCGGCCGGGGUGGAGGGGCCACGCCCCCCGAGCCCGGGCCGGCCGCAGACGAUUGGUCCAAACGACUGUUUACCAAAAACACAGGACUCUGCUGAAGUCGUAAGACGACGUAUAGGGUCUGACGCCUGCCCGGUGCCGGAAGGUCACGAGGAGCCGUCAGCUUCGGCGAAGCGGCGAAUCCAAGCCCCGGUAAACGGCGGCCGUAACUAUAACGGUCCUAAGGUAGCGAAAUUCCUUGUCGGGUAAGUUCCGACCUGCACGAAAGGCGUAACGAUUUGGACGCUGUCUCAACCAUAGGCCCGGUGAAAUUGCACUAGUCGUGAAAAUGCGACUUACCCGCGGAAGGACGGAAAGACCCCGUGAACCUUUACUGCAGCUAGACAUUGGCUGCCGGUCCGUCGUGUAGAGGAUAGGUGGGAGACGCUGAAGCCGGGACGCCAGUCCCGGCGGAGUCGCCCUUGGAAUACCACCCUCGACGCUCUGGCAUCCUAACCCCUCGCCGUGACCCGGGAGGGGGACCGUGUCUGGUGGGUAGUUUGACUGGGGCGGUCGCCUCCCAAAGAGUAACGGAGGCGCGCGCAAGGUCUGCUCAGGACGGUCGGCAACCGUCCCUCUGAGUGCAAGAGCACAAGCAGGCUUGACUGCGAGGCCCACAAGCCGAGCAGGUGGGAAACCAGGCUCUAGUGAUCCGGCGGCCCAGAGUGGAAUGGCCGUCGCUCAACGGAUAAAAGGUACUCCGGGGAUAACAGGCUGAUCUUCCCCAAGAGUCCACAUCGACGGGAAGGUUUGGCACCUCGAUGUCGGCUCAUCGCAUCCUGGGGCUGGAGCAGGUCCCAAGGGUAUGGCCGUUCGCCAUUCAAAGCGGUACGCGAGCUGGGUUCAGAACGUCGUGAGACAGUUCGGUCCCUAUCCUCCGCGGGCGCAGGAGAACUGAGGGAGGCUGCCCCUAGUACGAGAGGACCGGGGUGGACGGACCUCCGGUGCUCGGGUUGUUCACCAAGAGCACUGCCCGGUAGCUGAGUCCGGUCGGGAUAACCGCUGAAGGCAUCUAAGCGGGAAGCCCGUCCCGAGAUGAGUUCUCCUUCUGGUAAGACCCCUCGUAGACCACGAGGUCGAUAGGCCGCAGGUGCAAGCGCCGCGAGGCGCUCAGCCGAGCGGUACUAAUCGGUCGAGCUCUUCUAAAA